UGUAAACAUAAGGCUUUCUGCAAGAAGGACCUGGCUCCCAACAAAGAACGGAAAGAGGGUCCUGGUAGUAGAGGGCAACCAACUGUGCACUGCUUCCAGGGAAGGGUGAAGAGAGAGGAAAAGGAAUUUGAAGCUGUGGUAGCAGGACCUCCCUUGGCCACCUGCUGAGCCAGAACAAUUAAGAAUUCCUGAUGUUUUCCUCAAGAGGGAAGUCUGGAAUUGUGUUGGCAACCUCUUAAAAAGUCAAGGCCUCUUUGAGAGGGGC
Long non-coding RNA from Orcinus orca (killer whale), 265 nucleotides. RefSeq lists it as uncharacterized. The record is from RefSeq and is a predicted model, not a curated record. NCBI's taxonomy places the organism in Eukaryota, Metazoa, Chordata, Mammalia, Artiodactyla, Delphinidae. The transcript has 3 exons.